AUCAGACUCUGAGGUCACAUCUGUGAAAUAUUUAAGAUCGAGUUUCGAAACUAAAACCCACAAAAUCAUUUACAAACGAUCAACCAUGAAACCAUAAAGGACAGAACUCGACAAAUGGGAAUAAUCUCCUGCUUUGGAGCUGAAAGUCAAGACUGCAGAUGAUUUACUCUUGAUUUGUCCUAAAAUAUGACAAAUGUGAAUAAUAUUAUUUCAGUAAAGAAUCUAAUAGGUAAUUAAUAUGGUUGUCAUAUUUUAUUAGUGUUAGUAAUUGUAUUAUAUGAUCUGAGAAAGGAUUUAACUCAGUCAGGACCUUCACAUGUGCUGCCAAGUGUCCAUCAGUGUUACCUCAUCAGCUGCUUGUUACCUGAAGGAAAUGAUGUAAUUUAGUGAAUAUCAGCAGUGACAAACACACAGUUUGUCAGAGCUGUGAGGAGUGUCAGGGUUUCAGUGUUCUUCCUCUCUCCUCCCCUCUCACUGCAGACAUGAAACGCUGGCUGAGAAACAUCCUGAUUCUGACUCUCUGUUUAGAGUGUAAAGGACAAGACAAAGUGAACCAGCCAACAGAGGAUGUCAUUGCUACUGAAGGAGACUCAGUUACACUUGGAUGUACAUUUGAGACAAGUGCCUCAAGUCAAACUUUGUUCUGGUACAAACAGGAAGCAAACGGUUAUCCAAAGUACAUGCUGAGAUGUUUCUCUAAAACAGUCGAUCAUGCUCCAGAGUUUGAAAAGGAGAGAUUUAAUGCUACAAUUGAGAACAAGUCGGUUCCUCUGAAGAUCCAGAAGCUUCAGCUGUCUGACUCUGCUGUGUACUACUGUGCUCUGAGGCCCACAGUGACAGGAAACACCAAAACUCUGUACAAAAACCUUUGGAGCAAAGACAACAGAAUACUCCACAACAUCCACUAGAGGGAGUCACACACUGUUACACUGCAACUAUUCAGGCUCUGCUGACAACCUCUUGUGGUAUCAAGUCCAGUUCAUCUCCACAGCUUCUCCACAGAGUCACUUUCCUGUCAGACAGGAUUGUGAUGUGUCAGGAAUCACAGCCACACUUGGCAUUUUAUUCAGACUUGUCUUCAUGAUAAACUCACUCCCAGCAUCUCUGUGGGAAUCUUUGCUGCACAAAGUGGCACAUGAUCAGACACCAUCAACAUCAACCAAAUCAAACAUCAGCAAGUGUGUUGAUAAUGUGGUGCUGAUCACAAACAACAAAAUCAAUCUCCAUCAGAAAGCCUGGAUGAAUGGAGAGAUGAGGGCUCCAUCCAGACCCAAUGAAGCUGUCUUUUGGACAGGUCCACCAAUCAGCUGUGACAUUGUUACCACUGACAGGUCAAGUCCUACACGCCUC
Scatophagus argus is the source of this 1350-nucleotide non-coding RNA. Lineage: Eukaryota; Metazoa; Chordata; Actinopteri; Scatophagidae. The record is from the annotation of a RefSeq genome assembly.